AUUGAACGCUGGCGGCAUGCUUUACACAUGCAAGUCGAACGGCAGCGCGGGCUUCGGCCUGGCGGCGAGUGGCGAACGGGUGAGUAAUGCAUCGGAACGUGCCCAGUAGUGGGGGAUAGCCCGGCGAAAGCCGGAUUAAUACCGCAUACGACCUGAGGGUGAAAGCGGGGGACCGAAAGGCCUCGCGCUAUUGGAGCGGCCGAUGUCGGAUUAGCUAGUUGGUGGGGUAAAGGCUUACCAAGGCGACGAUCCGUAGCUGGUCUGAGAGGACGACCAGCCAAACUGGGAAUGAGACACGGCCCAGACUCCUACGGGAGGCAGCAGUGGGGAAUUUUGGACAAUGGGGGCAACCCUGAUCCAGCCAUGCCGCGUGCGGGAAGAAGGCCUUCGGGUUGUAAACCGCUUUUGUUCGGGAAGAAAUCCUCUGGGCUAAUACCCCGGGGGGAUGACGGUACCGGAAGAAUAAGCACCGGCUAACUACGUG
This 484-nucleotide ribosomal RNA is filed under the name uncultured bacterium. Its description in RNAcentral is "partial 16S ribosomal RNA". It matches the Rfam family "Bacterial small subunit ribosomal RNA", at positions 29 to 507 of the family's 1533-position model. The record is from RNAcentral.